RNAcentral lists this ribosomal RNA (497 nucleotides) under uncultured bacterium. Its description in RNAcentral is "partial 16S ribosomal RNA". It matches the Rfam family "Bacterial small subunit ribosomal RNA", at positions 28 to 507 of the family's 1533-position model. The record is from RNAcentral.
GAUGAACGCUGGCGGCGUGCCUAAUACAUGCAAGUCGAGCGAACAGACGAGGAGCUUGCUCCUCUGACGUUAGCGGCGGACGGGUGAGUAACACGUGGAUAACCUACCUAUAAGACUGGGAUAACUUCGGGAAACCGGAGCUAAUACCGGAUAAUAUAUUGAACCGCAUGGUUCAAUAGUGAAAGACGGUUUUGCUGUCACUUAUAGAUGGAUCCGCGCCGCAUUAGCUAGUUGGUAAGGUAACGGCUUACCAAGGCGACGAUGCGUAGCCGACCUGAGAGGGUGAUCGGCCACACUGGAACUGAGACACGGUCCAGACUCCUACGGGAGGCAGCAGUAGGGAAUCUUCCGCAAUGGGCGAAAGCCUGACGGAGCAACGCCGCGUGAGUGAUGUAGGUCUUCGGAUCGUAAAACUCUGUUAUUAGGGAAGAACAAAUGUGUAAGUAACUAUGCACGUCUUGACGGUACCUAAUCAGAAAGCCACGGCUAACUACGUG